GGAAAGGAGGCCAAGGGGAAGAAAGUGGCACCCACCCCUGCUGUCAUGAAGAAGCAGGAGGCCAAGAAGGUGGGAAGUCCCUGUUUGAGAAAAGGCCUAAGAAUUUUGGCACUGGACAGGAUAUCCCGCACGAAAGGGACCUCACCUGCUUUGUCAAAUGGCCCCGCUACAUGCAGUUGCGGCGGCAAAGGGCUAUCCUCCAUGAGCGGCCGAAAGUUCCUCCUGCCAUUAACCAGCUCACUCAGGCCUUGGACUGCCAGUUACUCAACUGCUUAAGCUGGCCCACAAGUGCAAUCCAGAGACAAAGCAAGGGAAGAAGCAGAGACUGUUGGCCUGGGCUGAGAAGAGAGCUGACAGCAAAGGGGCUCUCCCCAUUAAGAGACCACCUGUCCUUCAAGCAAUUUCAAUACUAUCACCACCGUGGUAGAGAACAAGAAGUCUCAACUGGUGGUGACUGAACACGAUGAGGAUCCCAUCAAGCUGGUUGUCUUUCUGCCUGCCCUGUGUUGUAAAAUAUGGGUCCCUUACUGCCUUAUCAAGGGGAAGGCAAGACUGGGACGUCUAGUCCACAGGAAGACCUGCACCACUGUCGCCUUCACACAGUUUAACUGGGAAGACAGAGGAGUUUUGAUGAAGCUGAUGGAAGCUAUCAGGACCAAUGACAAUGACAGAUAUGAUGAGAUCUGCCACCACUGGGAAAGCAAUGUCCUGGGUCCUAAAUCUGUGGCUUACAUUGCCAAGCAGGAAAAGGCAAAAGCUGAAACACUUGCUACUAAACUUGGU
RNAcentral lists this long non-coding RNA (783 nucleotides) under Homo sapiens (human). RNAcentral's name for it is "non-protein coding lnc-EXTL2-3:1". Lineage: Eukaryota; Metazoa; Chordata; Mammalia; Primates; Hominidae. The record is from RNAcentral.